UGUUGGUGGGGUAACGGCUCACCAAGGCGACGAUCCCUAGCUGGUCUGAGAGGAUGACCAGCCACACUGGAACUGAGACACGGUCCAGACUCCUACGGGAGGCAGCAGUGGGGAAUAUUGCACAAUGGGCGCAAGCCUGAUGCAGCCAUGCCGCGUGUAUGAAGAAGGCCUUCGGGUUGUAAAGUACUUUCAGCGGGGAGGAAGGGAGUAAAGUUAAUACCUUUGCUCAUUGACGUUACCCGCAGAAGAAUCACCGGCUAACUCCGUGCCAGCAGCCGCGGUAAUACGGAGGGUGCAAGCGUUAAUCGGAAUUACUGGGCGUAAAGCGCACGCAGGCGGUUUGUUAAGUCAGAUGUGAGAUCUCCGGGCUCAACCUGGGAACUGCAUCUGAUACUGGCAAGCUUGAGUCUCGUAGAGGGGGGUAGAAUUCCAGGUGUAGCGGUGAAAUGCGUAGAGAUCUGGAGGAAUACCGGUGGCGAAGGCGGCCCCCUGGACGAAGACUGACGCUCAGGUGCGAAAACGUGGGGAGCAAAACAGGAUAGAUACCCUGGUAGUCCACGCCGUAAACGAUGUCGACUUGGAGGGUGUGCCCUUGAGGCGUGGCUUCCGGAGCUAACGCGUUAAAGUCGACCGCCUGGGGAGUACGGCCCGCAAGGUUAAAACUCAAAUGAAUUGACGGGGGCCCGCACAAGCGGUGGAGCAUGUGGUUUAAUUCGAUGCAACGCGAAGAACCUUACCUGGUCUUGACAUCCACGGAAGUUUUCAGAGAUGAGAAUGUGCCUUCGGGAACCGUGAGACAGGUGCUGCAUGGCUGUCGUCAGCUCGUGUUGUGAAAUGUUGGGUUAAGUCCCGCAACGAGCGCAACCCUUAUCCUUUGUUGCCAGCGGUCCGGCCGGGAACUCAAAGGAGACUGCCAGUGAUAAACUGGAGGAAGGUGGGGAUGACGUCAA
This 950-nucleotide ribosomal RNA is filed under the name uncultured Gammaproteobacteria bacterium. RNAcentral describes it as "bacterial SSU rRNA". It matches the Rfam family "Bacterial small subunit ribosomal RNA", at positions 247 to 1188 of the family's 1533-position model. Lineage: Bacteria; Pseudomonadati; Pseudomonadota; Gammaproteobacteria. The record is from RNAcentral.